UACGGGAGGCAGCAGUGGGGAAUAUUGCACAAUGGGCGCAAGCCUGAUGCAGCCAUGCCGCGUGUAUGAAGAAGGCCUUCGGGUUGUAAAGUACUUUCAGUCGUGAGGAAGGUGUUAAGGUUAAUAACCUUAGCAAUUGACGUUAGCGACAGAAGAAGCACCGGCUAACUCCGUGCCAGCAGCCGCGGUAAUACGGAGGGUGCGAGCGUUAAUCGGAAUUACUGGGCGUAAAGGGCACGCAGGCGGUUAAUUAAGUUGGAUGUGAAAUCCCCGGGCUUAACCUGGGAAUGGCAUUCAAGACUGGUUAGCUAGAGUCUUGUAGAGGGGGUAGAAUUCCAUGUGUAGCGGUGAAAUGCGUAGAGAUGUGGAGGAAAUACCGGUGGCGAAAGGCGGCCCCUGGACAAAAGACUGACGCUCAUGUGCGAAAGCGUGGGGAGCAAAACAGGGAUUAGAUACC
This 457-nucleotide ribosomal RNA is filed under the name uncultured bacterium. Its description in RNAcentral is "bacterial SSU rRNA". It matches the Rfam family "Bacterial small subunit ribosomal RNA", at positions 340 to 786 of the family's 1533-position model. The record is from RNAcentral.